GCAAGACUGAUUGCGAAACUCACCGUUGUUCGUGCAAGAAAGCCAUGAUCCAAUGUACAGAUGUAUGUACUUGUGCUGGGUGUAUGAAUGCAGCGAUUGAUGACGAACAGUCAGACAAAGAGAUGGAAGAAGAGGAAGAGCUCGAUUUGGAUAUGGAUGAUGAUAUUUAAAGUGGCUCCCUACAUUUUAUAGAAAUGUUAAAAAUGCACAAAUUAGAUCAACUCUUUGAAGAGAUGUUAUUUGCUAGAAAUCAAAAAUAACACUUCACUAAAACAUACGCAUGGUUACCCCCCAUUUUUUAUUUCAGGAAACAUUUUCUUGUAGUACGACGAAAUAUUUGACCAAUUUUAAAAACAAAUCUGUUGAGCUAAAUUUAAAAUAAUUAUAAAC
This is a non-coding RNA of Paramuricea clavata, 390 nucleotides long. The record is from the annotation of a GenBank genome assembly. Lineage: Eukaryota; Metazoa; Cnidaria; Anthozoa; Malacalcyonacea; Plexauridae.